This 465-nucleotide ribosomal RNA is filed under the name Vreelandella stevensii. RNAcentral's name for it is "partial 16S ribosomal RNA". It matches the Rfam family "Bacterial small subunit ribosomal RNA", at positions 338 to 795 of the family's 1533-position model. The record is from RNAcentral. Lineage: Bacteria; Pseudomonadati; Pseudomonadota; Gammaproteobacteria; Oceanospirillales; Halomonadaceae.
CCUACGGGAGGCUGCAGUGGGGAAUAUUGGACAAUGGGCGAAAGCCUGAUCCAGCCAUGCCGCGUGUGUGAAGAAGGCCUUCGGGUUGUAAAGCACUUUCAGUGGGGAAGAAAGCCUUGGGGCUAAUACCCUCGAGGAAGGACAUCACCCACAGAAGAAGCACCGGCUAACUCCGUGCCAGCAGCCGCGGUAAUACGGAGGGUGCGAGCGUUAAUCGGAAUUACUGGGCGUAAAGCGCGCGUAGGCGGUCUGAUAAGCCGGUUGUGAAAGCCCCGGGCUCAACCUGGGAACGGCAUCCGGAACUGUCAGGCUAGAGUGCAGGAGAGGAAGGUAGAAUUCCCGGUGUAGCGGUGAAAUGCGUAGAGAUCGGGAGGAAUACCAGUGGCGAAGGCGGCCUUCUGGACUGACACUGACGCUGGGGUGCGAAAGCGUGGGUAGCAAACAGGAUUAGAUACCCUAGUAGUC